This 426-nucleotide ribosomal RNA is filed under the name uncultured bacterium. RNAcentral's name for it is "bacterial SSU rRNA". It matches the Rfam family "Bacterial small subunit ribosomal RNA", at positions 354 to 777 of the family's 1533-position model. The record is from RNAcentral.
GUGGGGAAUAUUGCACAAUGGGGGGAACCCUGAUGCAGCGACGCCGCGUGGGUGAAGGAGUACUUCGGUACGUAAAGCCCUAUCAGCAGGAAAGAACAAAGUGCCCUAACGGGCGCUUGGACGGUACCUGACUAAGAAGCCCCGGCUAACUACGUGCCAGCAGCCGCGGUAAUACGUAGGGGGCAAGCGUUAUCCGGAUUUACUGGGUGUAAAGGGAGCGUAGACGGCAGUGCAAGUCCGGAGUGAAAGCCCGGGGCUCAACCCUGGGACUGCUCUGGAAACUGUAAAGCUGGAGUGCGGGAGGGGCAGGCGGAAUUCCUGGUGUAGCGGUGAAAUGCGUAGAUAUCAGGAGGAACACCGGCGGCGAAGGCGGCCUGCUGGACCGUAACUGACGUUGAGGCUCGAAAGCGUGGGGAGCAAACAGGA